CAGCAGUAGCCGCGGGAAUACGUAGGGUGCAAGCGUUAAUCGGAAUUACUGGGCGUAAAGCGUGCGCAGGCGGUUAUAUAAGACAGAUGUGAAAUCCCCGGGCUCAACCUGGGAACUGCAUUUGUGACUGUAUAGCUAGAGUACGGCAGAGGGGGAUGGAAUUCCGCGUGUAGCAGUGAAAUGCGUAGAUAUGCGGAGGAACACCGAUGGCGAAGGCAAUCCCCUGGGCCUGUACUGACGCUCAUGCACGAAAGCGUGGGGAGCAAACAGGAUUAGAUACCCCCGUAGUCCCUGUCUCUUAUAC
This 304-nucleotide ribosomal RNA is filed under the name uncultured bacterium. RNAcentral describes it as "partial 16S ribosomal RNA". It matches the Rfam family "Bacterial small subunit ribosomal RNA", at positions 506 to 807 of the family's 1533-position model. The record is from RNAcentral.